UUAAACUACACUUACUUCUCACAGUUCUGGAGGCUGGGAAGUCCAAGAUUAAGAUGCAGAUUCAGUGUCUGGUAGGGACCAGCUUACCAGUUUAUAGACUGUGGUCUUCUGACUAUGUCCUUACAUUGCAGAAAGGGGUGAAAGAGCUCUCUGGGUCUCUUUUAUAAGGGCACUAAUCUUAUUCAUGAGGACUCUGUCGUCAUGACAUAAUCACCUCCCCAAAGCCACACCUCCCAAUGCAGCACAUUGAGGGUUAGGAUUUCAACAUAUGAAUUUUGGGGGGACACAAAUAUUCAGUCCAUAGUAGUGACAUAGAAGCAUUAAAUUAAUAGGUUUCCUUUAGUGCAAGGAUAACAUCCUGAAAAUAAUAAUUAAUUUAAAAGUUAAAAUGAAUAACAAAUGGAAUGAAACACACACAGACAUUUAAAUGUACCCUGAGGAAUGCCCUUUUAUAUUACCAUAUUAAGAGUGUCGAGAGAGAGAGAGAAAGAGAGAGAGAGAGCUUUACCUGUGGGUGUAUAGUAAUUUUGGGUAGUUAAGCAGCACCCUUCUUUUGAGUUGCUCACAAUGCUUUAUAGCAUUCACUUCAAUUGUGACAACACUCCUGUGGGUGGCAGGCAUUGUACUAAAAGUGCGGUACAGCUGCAGGUCAGACAACCCAGGGGCACACAGUUUUCACAUGAACAGUUUAUAGCACAGGUGGGUGCCGAGCCCACAGGGUCGGUCCAGUCAUGCCUCAUCCACAUCUGACCAAGGUGGCAUCUUCUUGGACUGAUGAGCUCUCGAAUGAAUAACAGUUUUGAGUUCCCAUUAUUCUGGGUUUCCCAAGUGUGCGUGCCAUAUCUGAAACAGAUGGUCAGUAUUACAGGAUGAUGACGGUUUUUAAUGGUAAUAG
RNAcentral lists this long non-coding RNA (895 nucleotides) under Homo sapiens (human). RNAcentral's name for it is "HSALNT0044916". The record is from RNAcentral. Lineage: Eukaryota; Metazoa; Chordata; Mammalia; Primates; Hominidae.